GACGAACGCUGGCGGCGUGCCUGACACAUGCAAGUCGGACGGUUCUUGUACCUUCAAGCUUGCUUGUUGGUGCAAGGAUAGUGGCGGACGGGUGAGUAACGCGUGAACAUCUACCCAUUGGAGGGGGACAACCCGUCGAAAGGCGGGCUAAUACCGCGUAAGCCGCGAGGUGAGAGGCUGCCUAUUGGUGGCCGCCGAUGGAUGGGUUCGCGUCCUAUCAGCUGGUUGGUGGGGUAACGGCCUACCAAGGCGAAGACGGGUAGCCGGUCUGAGAGGAUGGCCGGCCACACUGGAACUGAGACACGGUCCAGACUCCUACGGGAGGCAGCAGUGGGGGAUAUUGCGCAAUGGGGGAAACCCUGACGCAGCAACGCCGCGUGGAGGAAGAAGGUCUUCGGAUUGUAAACUCCUGUCUUCUGGGACGAAUAAUGACGGUACCAGAGGAGGAAGCCACGGCUAACUACGUG
RNAcentral lists this ribosomal RNA (467 nucleotides) under uncultured bacterium. Its description in RNAcentral is "bacterial SSU rRNA". It matches the Rfam family "Bacterial small subunit ribosomal RNA", at positions 28 to 507 of the family's 1533-position model. The record is from RNAcentral.